RNAcentral lists this transfer RNA (66 nucleotides) under Acidobacteriota bacterium. RNAcentral's name for it is "Acidobacteria bacterium tRNA-Cys". The record is from RNAcentral. Lineage: Bacteria; Pseudomonadati; Acidobacteriota.
GGCGUUCGGCUCGGGAGAGGUCUGCAAAACCUUUAUUCAGGGGUUCGAAUCCCCUCCUCGCCUCCA